UACGUAGGGUCCGAGCGUUGUCCGGAAUUACUGGGCGUAAAGAGCUCGUAGGUGGUUUGUCGCGUUGUUCGUGAAAACUCACAGCUCAACUGUGGGCGUGCGGGCGAUACGGGCAGACUGGAGUACUGCAGGGGAGACUGGAAUUCCUGGUGUAGCGGUGGAAUGCGCAGAUAUCAGGAGGAACACCGGUGGCGAAGGCGGCUCUCUGGGACGGUACUGACGCUGAGACGCGAAAGCGUGGGUAGCAAACAGG
RNAcentral lists this ribosomal RNA (253 nucleotides) under uncultured bacterium. RNAcentral's name for it is "partial 16S ribosomal RNA". It matches the Rfam family "Bacterial small subunit ribosomal RNA", at positions 524 to 776 of the family's 1533-position model. The record is from RNAcentral.